Molecule: RNase P RNA, 209 nt
Filed under: Deltaproteobacteria bacterium
Lineage: Bacteria; Pseudomonadati; Myxococcota; Myxococcia
Description: partial RNase P RNA component class A
Rfam family: Bacterial RNase P class A
About the family: Ribonuclease P (RNase P) is a ubiquitous endoribonuclease, found in archaea, bacteria and eukarya as well as chloroplasts and mitochondria.
Source: RNAcentral
AGAGUAGGACAAAUGGCCGCUGCUUUGCCUUUUGGCAAAGGGGAGGAAAGUCCGGGCUCCAUAGGACAGGGUGCUGGGUAACACCCAGUCCUGGUGACAGGCAGGAAAGUGCCACAGAAAACAGACCGCCAGGGUGAACGUCCUCGAUGUUGCCCUGGUAAGGGUGAAAAGUUGAGGUAAGAGCUCACCAGUCCCAUCGGUGACGGUGG